Molecule: ribosomal RNA, 468 nt
Filed under: uncultured bacterium
Lineage: Bacteria
Description: partial 16S ribosomal RNA
Rfam family: Bacterial small subunit ribosomal RNA
Source: RNAcentral
GACGAACGCUGGCGGCGUGCUUAACACAUGCAAGUCGAACGGAAAGGCCCUGCUUUUGUGGGGUGCUCGAGUGGCGAACGGGUGAGUAACACGUGAGUAACCUGCCCUUGACUUUGGGAUAACUUCAGGAAACUGGUGCUAAUACCGGAUAGGAGCUCCUGCUGCAUGGUGGGGGUUGGACAGUUUCGGCGGCUGGGGAUGGACUCGCGGCUUAUCAGCUUGUUGGUGGGGUAGUGGCUUACCAAGGCUUUGACGGGUAGCCGGCCUGAGAGGGUGACCGGCCACAUUGGGACUGAGAUACGGCCCAGACUCCUACGGGAGGCAGCAGUGGGGAAUAUUGCACAAUGGGAGGAAGCCUGAUGCAGCAACGCCGCGUGCGGGAUGACGGCCUUCGGGUUGUAAACCGCUUUCGCCUGUGACGAAGCGUGAGUGACGGUAAUGGGUAAAGAAGCACCGGCUAACUACGUG